Long non-coding RNA from Phacochoerus africanus (Common warthog), 855 nucleotides. RefSeq lists it as uncharacterized. The record is from RefSeq and is a predicted model, not a curated record. NCBI's taxonomy places the organism in Eukaryota, Metazoa, Chordata, Mammalia, Artiodactyla, Suidae. The transcript has 2 exons.
AUGGAUACGAGUGGGGUUCACUAACUGUUGAGCCACAGCGGGAACUCCGAGCCUCACCUUUCUCAUCUCUAAGAAGGAUGUUACUGUAGCCCCUGGGGGUUGAGAGCAGCUGGCAGCCUUGAGAAGCCUCUCCUGCAGUUUGACAGAGGUCCCCCAGAGGAGCCUGCUGGCUUCCAACUGGCCAGAAAACUGGCCCAGCUGCAUUCCAGACUCCCUGGCAUGGGGGGAAGAGGUCUCCAAGGGGGCUGAACCUGACUUACCAGCGCACUCAUCUCCAGGGAGAAGAUGGGCCGGCCAGGGCCCCCCAGGGAGAAGGUCUCUGCCACCCAGCUCUCCAGCGCCCCCGCCGCCCCCCACCGCGCCCCAGCCGAUGCCAUCCUUGGCCCCGAGGACUUGGACCUGGUGCCCUCCCUGACCUUGGCCGCAGCCCUGGUCCUGUUGUUCCUCCUGCUCUCCACCUGGCUGGUGUGGGACAGGUCCCUCCAACCCUCCUGCUAACGUGGGUCCCGAGCAGGGGCUCGAGGGGGCAUGGCCCAGGGUCAGGAGUGGCAGGAGCGGAACCAGGGAUGGGGCUGGCUGGGCAUUGCAGCCAAACCCUGUGACCAGCUAGCCCUUGCCCAUGCGACCCCAGGAGACCCUGGGAGACCCUCGAGUCCUCCCCACUGGAGGGCAGGAACCUGGAUGAGCCCCGGACUGCGCUUCAGAAUGCUGCUGCUGGAGCCUCACAGGGGCCACAGGAGGUGGGCUGAGAACCCGGGGCAGUGAAAGAGCAUGGCAGAGCCGCUUGAAAUCACUUCUCCCCGUUUGCUGCCCGGUCCCCAUCCUGACUGCUGCAAAUAAAGCUUGGUGACCCAG